GACAAAUGCUGCAUAAUAUUAUGUAGAGGAAAGUCCUUGCUCACACAACCUGAGAUGGUUGUAGUGUUUGUGCUUAGGGAAAAAAUAACCUAAGGUAGAAAUUUAUUUCUAACGGCUCCGAGGAAACCUCAAAUGGUUUUAUUAGGUAUAAAAGUGCCAAAGUGACGAAGAAAAGGGAAACCUUGGAAGUGGAACGUGGUAAACCCCACAAGUGAGAAACCCAAAUUAUGGUAGGGGAGCUAUUCAAACGGAAUCAAACGGGAGAAUGGACCAGUAAUGGUAGAUAAAUAUUUGUCGCGUCGAAAGACGUACAGAACAAGGCUUAUAA
Molecule: RNase P RNA, 328 nt
Filed under: pig gut metagenome
Description: Bacterial RNase P class B
Rfam family: Bacterial RNase P class B
About the family: Ribonuclease P (RNase P) is a ubiquitous endoribonuclease, found in archaea, bacteria and eukarya as well as chloroplasts and mitochondria.
Source: RNAcentral